This 424-nucleotide ribosomal RNA is filed under the name uncultured bacterium. RNAcentral describes it as "partial 16S ribosomal RNA". It matches the Rfam family "Bacterial small subunit ribosomal RNA", at positions 360 to 776 of the family's 1533-position model. The record is from RNAcentral.
AAUAUUGGACAAUGGGCGAAAGCCUGAUCCAGCCAUGCCGCGUGUCUGUAGAAGGUUUUUGUCUUGCAAAGAACUUUAAGUUGGGAGGAAGGGUUGUAGAUUAAUACUCUGCAAUCUUGCCGUUACUGACAGAAUACGCACCGCCUAACUCCGUGCCAGCAGCCGCGGUAAUAUGAAGGGUGCAAGCAUUAAUCGGAAUUACUAGGUGUAAAGCGGGCGGAGGUGGUUGGUUAAGUUGGAUGAGGGAACCCCCGGCUCAACCUGGGAACUGCAUCCAAAACUGGCGAGCGACAAGACAGUAGAUGGGGGUGGAAUUUCCUGUGUAGCGGUGAAAUGCGUAGAUAUAAGAAGGAACACCAGUGGCGAAGGCGGCCGCCUGGACUGAUACUGACACUGAGGUGCGAAAGCGUAGGGAGCAAACAGG